GCUGCGGCGGGUGUAACACAGGCAUGGAAAAGUCAAUCAUUAAAAUAUCGUGACAGAAAGAGUCAACAGAUUAACACCUCGAUAACUACAAACAUUAAGAAGUUUUGUCUACCAGUGUGGAAUUGGCACACUUGUAAAAUUUCCCCGUAGCAAUAUGGCCCCCAGCAGGGCCCCACUGCCAGCUUCAGUGGCUCACAGUCCAUCGCCAAGCGGCUACACAGACAACUUGCAGAUAACACAAUAAAAAAAUAUAGAUAUACCUACAUUAUUUGGUUCAUUGGUAUUAUUUUACAUUUUUUUUUUUCGCUGCUCAUAACGGACUUUCAGCAUUAACGGACUAAGGUCCGCCCCAAUUAGUCCGUUAUAUCGAGGGUUUGCUGUAAAAUGGAAGCAUGUCUGUGAUGUCACACCUGACCGAGCAAUCUCGCGUGAGAAAAGUUAAUCGUCAACUCUCCUCUCUUUCUCGCUGAUCACCUCCAAGCUUUCUCGCCAGUACCUGCCAGUGUGGCCAACACCUCCAUUGCUUAUAUUGUGUAUUAAAGUUUCUUGCCCUCGCUCACUCUGUGGCCUAAGAGAAGGUAGGGGAAUUUAGGGGCUGUUUUGGGACUGAAGGAGAAGAAGAGCGAAGGAAAGAGGCUGAAAUGAGAGAUACAGGGUGUUAGGAUGCUAUUGGUCUAAAAAUGGACUGAUUUAGGGCUGUUUAGGGGGCUGAGGGGACUGAGAAAGAGCAUAGAGGAAAGGGAAGGGCUAUAAGGUUGCUAUUGGGGCUGAAAGAUUGAGUGUAAGGGAAGGGCUGAGAAAGUGAGGGCUGAUUAUGGGUCUGAGAGAGAGGGUAGAGGGAAGGAAAGGGGCUGAAAUGAGAGAUAAAAGUGAGAAAGGGGGCUGCCAGGAUGCUAUGGGUUCAAGAAAAGGGUCCUUUUUGGCUUUGUAAGGCUGUUUAAGGGCUUGUAUAGAGGGAAGAAAAGGGCUGUCAUGAGAGGGGGCUGAGGUGGUGUUUGUAAGGAAGGGGCUGCCACAGGGUGAAGAAAAUGAAGGGGCUGUGGCAAUAAGGGAAGGAAGGGGCUGGAAAAGUGAAGGGAAGGGAAGGGAGGGGCUGGAAAAGUGAAGGGAAGGGAAGGGAGGGGCAGUUACAAAAGGUGGCUGAGAGAGAGGCUGGUGGAGGAGGCGGUGGCUGAGUGGAUAGUGUGACGGUGCUGCGUUCAGGACGACGCGAGGUCAAUCCCCGCCCGGUGCCACAAGCUGGGAUUUUUGAGCCACCGCCGAGAGGCCUAAGACUACCCACAUGCUGCCCAGAAGACCACCUAUCAACCCGGACUCUAGAUUCUAGGAUUAAAGAUGAGCUCCAGGGGGCAGCAUGAGCCAGUGUAAGAUGGCGCCACUAUAAACACUUGCCUGCGCCACAACGGGCUGGGCCGACCAUCACUGACACGAAGGAAGGCCUACCGGCGCAACAGGCGUAGACGUCAAAAAAUAAAAAAUAAAAUAAAUCAAAAAUCAAAACAAGGCAAGGUUGGAGCACUGGGAUAAGUGUACACACUUUAACAAGGAGAAAUCUGCCACAAACAUUAUGACGGGAAUGUUUACAUGGAUUUACAGGUCAUGAGAGGUCAGGAACAGGAUGUUAAGUCAAGGGCUAAAGGGACACACAUAUAUAUUGCUGAAAAAACACAGACUGAGACUUUGAAAUAAAUUGGUUCACAAAAAAUAA
This is a long non-coding RNA of Eriocheir sinensis (Chinese mitten crab), 1708 nucleotides long. RefSeq lists it as uncharacterized. Lineage: Eukaryota; Metazoa; Arthropoda; Malacostraca; Decapoda; Varunidae. The record is from RefSeq and is a predicted model, not a curated record. The transcript has 2 exons.